AGCUUCUCUUGCAAUGUAAGUACCUGAAGCAACAAGGCAUGAACAAUUGAAUCACUAUGCAUUCAUAAUCCCCUUGUCCAAAAUGUAGAAUUUUACAAGAAUUUAAAUAAAUUGAUUUCUUUUUUUUGUUAAUUUUCAUGUUUGUAAUGAAUGAAUUCAAUUAUUUUUAAUUUAAAAAACUUUUCAUUUUAAAAAAAAUCUAAAUCAAGCAUGAUUUUGUGGAAAUUCAAUUGAAUUCUGUUCUUGUAAAUGAUUUAUUCCAAAGGAAGUCAAUAUCAAAGGCAAUGGAAUUUACUGUAAACAAGGCUUGGUGAAUAAACUGCACUCUACAACCCCAACCCCCAAAAACCCACCCGAAAGAAGCCUACAAAAAACUAUUUUGGCUAUGACAAACUCAAGUAGCAAAAAGAGAAAGAAAUAUAUAAUAACCAUUUCAUUUGAUUUGUCCACG
Molecule: unclassified non-coding RNA, 451 nt
Filed under: Hevea brasiliensis (rubber tree)
Lineage: Eukaryota; Viridiplantae; Streptophyta; Magnoliopsida; Malpighiales; Euphorbiaceae
Source: RNAcentral